RNAcentral lists this ribosomal RNA (428 nucleotides) under uncultured bacterium. RNAcentral describes it as "bacterial SSU rRNA". It matches the Rfam family "Bacterial small subunit ribosomal RNA", at positions 28 to 445 of the family's 1533-position model. The record is from RNAcentral.
GGCGAACGCUGGCGGCGUGCCUAAUACAUGCAAGUAGAACGCUGAAGUCUGGUGCUUGCACCGGAUGGAUGAGUUGCGAACGGGUGAGUAACGCGUAGGUAACCUGCCUUGUAGCGGGGGAUAACUAUUGGAAACGAUAGCUAAUACCGCAUAACAAUGGAUGACACAUGUCAUUUAUUUGAAAGGGGCAAUUGCUCCACUACAAGAUGGACCUGCGUUGUAUUAGCUAGUAGGUGAGGUAAUGGCUCACCUAGGCGACGAUACAUAGCCGACCUGAGAGGGUGAUCGGGCCACACUGGGACUGAGACACGGGCCCAGACUCCUACGGGAGCAGCAGUAGGGAAUCUUCGGCAAUGGGGGCAACCCUGACCGAGCAACGCCGCGUGAGUGAAGAAGGUUUUCGGAUCGUAAAGCUCUGUGUAAGUCAA